This 320-nucleotide long non-coding RNA is filed under the name Parus major (Great Tit). Its description in RNAcentral is "lncRNA (ENSPMJG00000019301.1)". The record is from RNAcentral. Lineage: Eukaryota; Metazoa; Chordata; Aves; Passeriformes; Paridae.
AUUUUAUUUUCCACUUCCUAUUUGUCUUGCUAAUGUUUUUUUCUCUAAAAGGUAGGUUUCCAGGGGUGCAAGCCACAGAGACCUGGUACACUCUGCUGAUUCGGUACAAGUGAAGCCUAAUCCUGAGUUAAAACACAAAGUUUUACAGAUGUUGUGGACUCUACAUCCUUCUCUGGUGAACAUGAAAGCUUUUCAAGGUCAGCAGUGCCAUACAGGUGGGAGCUGUUGAUGUUGGGAGCCCAAGCAGCAUUCCACUCUUCUCUGUCAGAGAAAGGAAUGGACACUAGGAAGUGUGCCCAUGUAUAUCAGCUUUAUUUACU